GACGAACGCUGGCGGCGUGCUUAACACAUGCCAGUCGAACGGAAAGGCCUCUUUCGGUGGGUACUCGAGUGGCGAACGGGUGAGUAACACGUGAGUAACCUGCCCUUGACUUUGGGAUAACUUCAGGAAACUGGGGCUAAUACCGGAUAGGAGCUCCUGCUGCAUGGUGGGGGUUGGAAAGUUUCGGCGGUUGGGGAUGGACUCGCGGCUUAUCAGCUUGUUGGUGGGGUAGUGGCUUACCAAGGCUUUGACGGGUAGCCGGCCUGAGAGGGUGACCGGCCACAUUGGGACUGAGGUACGGCCCAGACUCCUACGGGAGGCAGCAGUGGGGAAUAUUGCACAAUGGGUGGAAGCCUGAUGCAGCAACGCCGUGUGCGGGAUAACGGCCUUCGGGUUGUAAACCGCUUUCGCUCAUGACGAAGCUUUGUGUGACGGUAGUGGGUAAAGAAGCACCGGCUAACUACGUG
RNAcentral lists this ribosomal RNA (467 nucleotides) under uncultured bacterium. RNAcentral describes it as "partial 16S ribosomal RNA". It matches the Rfam family "Bacterial small subunit ribosomal RNA", at positions 28 to 507 of the family's 1533-position model. The record is from RNAcentral.